This 96-nucleotide microRNA precursor is filed under the name Tupaia belangeri (northern tree shrew). Its description in RNAcentral is "miRNA (ENSTBEG00000020633.1)". Lineage: Eukaryota; Metazoa; Chordata; Mammalia; Scandentia; Tupaiidae. The record is from RNAcentral.
UCUUAGCUGAGUGUCCCGCGGGGCCCGAAGCGUUUACUUUUGAAAUAUUAAGAGUGUUCAAAGCAGGCCCGAGCCGCCUGGAUACCGCAGCUAGGA